UUUUUUUUUUUUUUUUUUUGAGACGGAGUCUCGCUCUGUCGCCCAGGCUGGAGUGCAGUGGCGCAAUCUCGGCUCACUGCAACCUCCACCUCCCGGGUUCACGCCAUUCUCCUGCCUCAGCCUCCCGAGUAGCUGGGACUACAGGUGCCCGCCACCACGCCCGGCUAAUUUUUUGUAUUUUUUGUAGAGACAGGGUUUCACCGUGUUAGCCAGGAUGGUCUCGAUCUCCUGACCUUGUGAUCCGCCCGCCUC
This 252-nucleotide long non-coding RNA is filed under the name Homo sapiens (human). RNAcentral's name for it is "LHRI_LNC2009.1". Lineage: Eukaryota; Metazoa; Chordata; Mammalia; Primates; Hominidae. The record is from RNAcentral.